RNAcentral lists this ribosomal RNA (465 nucleotides) under uncultured bacterium. RNAcentral's name for it is "partial 16S ribosomal RNA". It matches the Rfam family "Bacterial small subunit ribosomal RNA", at positions 28 to 507 of the family's 1533-position model. The record is from RNAcentral.
GACGAACGCUGGCGGCGUGCUUAACACAUGCAAGUCGAACGGAAAGGCCCUGCUUGCAGGGUACUCGAGUGGCGAACGGGUGAGUAACACGUGGGUGAUCUGCCCUGCACUUCGGGAUAAGCUUGGGAAACUGGGUCUAAUACCGGAUAGGACCGCACUUUAGUGUGUGUGGUGGAAAGUUUUUUCGGUGUAUGAUGAGCUCGCGGCCUAUCAGCUUGUUGGUGGGGUAAUGGCCUACCAAGGCGGCGACGGGUAGCCGGCCUGAGAGGGUGUACGGCCACAUUGGGACUGAGAUACGGCCCAGACUCCUACGGGAGGCAGCAGUGGGGAAUAUUGCACAAUGGGCGCAAGCCUGAUGCAGCGACGCCGCGUGGGGGAUGAAGGCCUUCGGGUUGUAAACUCCUUUCGCUAGGGACGAAGCUUUUUGUGACGGUACCUAGAGAAGAAGCACCGGCUAACUACGUG